GUGUUUUCCCUCUGGUCUCGACAAAAGAGUUGUUCUGAGUGCUUAAUCUACUCUGGAGCCCAUAUUUUAUACAUUAUAUAAAUUUGUCAUUUUAUUUUGGUGGUACUGGGGAUUGAAACCAGGGCCUUCCACAUUCUAGACAAGUGCUCCACCACUGACUAUAUCCCCAGCCCCAAAUUCAGCAAAUAUUGAUCUGUACUUUUUACUGUGUUAGAUGCGUUAGGAAACAAAGGUAGCAUCACGGUCCUAACCUCAAGGAUGCUUACAGUUGUCUAUUUGGGGAAACAAUGUGCAGGUGAUGCCAGCUACAUUACAAAAGGCAAUACUUAACUAUGGACUUGUGGUGGUAUGGAGUCUGAUGGUAGUUAACUAUGGGCUAGUUUGGGGAAGACUCAAUGGAGGAGGUGGACUGUGGCUCAACAGAGAAAAAAUAACAUUUGUAGACCAGAAAAUUGAGGGGAUAUUCAGGUUAGUCUUGGGAAACUGGGCAAGAAUACAGAUUGGGCUUGUUUCAAAUAAGAGAGAAUUAUG
This 531-nucleotide long non-coding RNA is filed under the name Marmota monax (woodchuck). Lineage: Eukaryota; Metazoa; Chordata; Mammalia; Rodentia; Sciuridae. The record is from RNAcentral.